Molecule: ribosomal RNA, 924 nt
Filed under: Triticum aestivum (bread wheat)
Lineage: Eukaryota; Viridiplantae; Streptophyta; Magnoliopsida; Poales; Poaceae
Description: partial small subunit ribosomal RNA
Source: RNAcentral
AUGGCCGAGAUCGACGAGAAUUCCCUCCGCAAUAACAACAGCAGCACCAAUACCAAGACCCAGAAGAAAUCGACUGAGAUUACUGUCGCCACCCCGACCCGGAAGACCACGGAGCGCGCAAAGGAGCAGAGUUCUCAGAAAGAGAAGGCGGAGGAGACCAUGGUUGCGGUGUCAGAGACUAGAGCGCCUUCGUCCAAGACCACCGAGACGCGCACGGUGAGCAUCGUGGCCGAGACCCCAGGACGGAGGUCAGGCCGCCGUUCGCGCCGGGCGUCGCGCGACUUCGACCAGAACCCCGGCUUGUACGCCAGCCAUCUCCUCGAGGACAUCCAGAACUACCACACCUCCGCUACGGCCACCCCCGGAACGCCGCCAUCCUUCACGCUACCGGCCUGCGUCUCCAAGGCGCAGUCCAUCGUCGACGCCGUCGCCGACCUCAACUCCUCAUCGUCAGAGAGCCGCACCUGCGAGCCCGAUCGGAGCGUCGACGACAAGGCCUCUGUCAACGCGGCGGCCGGCGGGGAUGACCUUGACGCGCCGAGCGUGCACAGGUACGUGUCGGUGCGGGACAUCCGUGGCCGCGGGGAGAUGGAGCUGCAGGAGUCCGCGGGGAGCAACAGCCUCUCCGGCAACCUGUGGACGCCGUCGUGCGAGUCCACGGACCGGACGUGGAGCGGCUCGCGGUCGUCGAACAACGGCGACGAGGUCGUCGAGCAGGUCCCUAGCCACCACAGUGGCGCGCGCAGCCCGGUGAACCGGCCCAGGCAGAGCAAGCAGAGGGCGGCUGCGCAGCUGGAGCCAAGCGGCCGGUCGCGCACCGGCAACUCCGGCGUCAAUGCUCACCGUGGACGCAGCGCUCACCGCGGCAGCGGCAGCGUGGCGAGCGGCCGAUCGGGCGUCCGUGGCGUCUCGGCGAGCACGUAG